UACAGAGGGUGCGAGCGUUAAUCGGCAUUACUGGGCGUAAAGCGUGCGUAGACGGUAGCGUAAGUCAGAUGUGAAAGCCCCGGGCUCAACCUGGGAAUUGCAUUUGAGACUGCUCUGCUCGGGUGCGGAAGAGGGAAGCGGAAUUUCCGGUGUAGCGGUGAAAUGCGUAGAUAUUGGGAAGAACACCGGUGGCGAAGGCGGCUCUCUGGACCGUAACUGACGCUGAGGCGCGACAGCGUGGGGGGCAAACAGG
Molecule: ribosomal RNA, 253 nt
Filed under: uncultured bacterium
Lineage: Bacteria
Description: partial 16S ribosomal RNA
Rfam family: Bacterial small subunit ribosomal RNA
Source: RNAcentral